This 77-nucleotide transfer RNA is filed under the name Podarcis lilfordi (Lilford's wall lizard). RNAcentral describes it as "tRNA.Lys". The stretch from base 12 to 69 matches the Rfam family "tRNA", at positions 8 to 63 of the family's 71-position model. From Rfam's summary of the family: Transfer RNA (tRNA) molecules are approximately 80 nucleotides in length. Lineage: Eukaryota; Metazoa; Chordata; Lepidosauria; Squamata; Lacertidae. The record is from RNAcentral.
GUCUCAAGGGAUAGUUCAGCCGGUACAGCAUGAGAUUCUUAAUCUCAGGGUGGUGGGUUUGAGCCCCACAUUGGACA